CCUACGGGGGGCAGCAGUGAGGAAUAUUGGUCAAUGGGCGAGAGCCUGAACCAGCCAAGUCGCGUGAGGGAGUACUGCCCUAUGGGUUGUAAACCUCUUUUGUCGGGGAGCAAAAGCCGGACGUGUCCGGCUGUGAGAGUACCCGAAGAAAAAGCAUUGGCUAACUCCGUGCCAGCAGCCGCGGUAAUACGGAGGAUGCGAGCGUUAUCCGGAUUUAUUGGGUUUAAAGGGUGCGCAGGCGGAUUUUUAAGUCAGCGGUAAAAUCGUGGGGCUCAACCCCAUCCAGCCGUUGAAACUGGGGAUCUAGAGUGUGCGAGAGGUAUGCGGAAUGCGUGGUGUAGCGGUGAAAUGCAUAGAUAUCACGCAGAACCCCGAUUGCGAAGGCAGCAUACCGGUGCACAACUGACGCUCAGGCACGAAAGCGUGGGUAUCGAACAGGAUUAGAUACCCUUGUAGU
RNAcentral lists this ribosomal RNA (457 nucleotides) under uncultured bacterium. RNAcentral describes it as "partial 16S ribosomal RNA". It matches the Rfam family "Bacterial small subunit ribosomal RNA", at positions 338 to 794 of the family's 1533-position model. The record is from RNAcentral.